This 253-nucleotide ribosomal RNA is filed under the name uncultured bacterium. RNAcentral describes it as "partial 16S ribosomal RNA". It matches the Rfam family "Bacterial small subunit ribosomal RNA", at positions 524 to 776 of the family's 1533-position model. The record is from RNAcentral.
UACGGAGGAUGCAAGCGUUAUCCGGAAUGAUUGGGCGUAAAGCGUCCGCAGGUGGCUGUGUAAGUCUGCUGUUAAAGAGUCUAGCUCAACUAGAUACAAGCAGUUGAAACUACACGGCUAGAGUACGUUCGGGGCAGAGGGAAUUCCUGGUGUAGCGGUGAAAUGCGUAGAGAUCAGGAAGAACACCGGUGGCGAAGGCGCUCUGCUAGGCCGUAACUGACACUGAGGGACGAAAGCUAGGGGAGCGAAUGGG